RNAcentral lists this ribosomal RNA (355 nucleotides) under uncultured bacterium. RNAcentral describes it as "bacterial SSU rRNA". It matches the Rfam family "Bacterial small subunit ribosomal RNA", at positions 8 to 362 of the family's 1533-position model. The record is from RNAcentral.
AGAGUUUGAUCCUGGCUCAGGAUGAACGCUGGCGGCGUGCUUAAUACAUGCAAGUCGAACGAAGAUAAUAGCAAUAUUGUCUUAGUGGCGAACGGGUGAGUAACGCGUUGGUGACCUGCCCCGAAGAGAGGGAUAACAGUUCGAAAGGACUGCUAAUACCUCAUGUGGUCAAAGAGGUUAGAGUCUCUUUGUCUAAAGGGAGUAAUUCGCUUCGGGAGGGGCCUGCGUCCCAUCAGCUAGUUGGUAAGGUAAUGGCCUACCAAGGCGAUGACGGGUAGGGGACCUGAGAGGGUGGCCCCCCACAAUGGAACUGAAACACGGUCCAUACACCUACGGGUGCCAGCAGCCGCGGUAA